AUGUUAUCCUUAUAUGCUAGUGGAGUGGGAGGUCACUCGGGUUUCCAAGGUACUUAUCAAAGGAUUAAAGCUCGGUUUGCCUGGCCUGUCAUGAAGCGAGAUAUUCAAAGCUAUGUGAAAGAAUGCACUGUGUGUCAACAAGCUGAACAUAUUAAAAAGCCUGGCUUGCUCAGCCCUCUCCCAGUACCUAAAGAAGCAUGGAAUUUGGUUACUAUGGAUUUUAUUGGAGGUAGCCCUCUGCCAGUACCUAAAGAAGCAUGGAAUUUGGUUACUAUGGAUUUUAUUGGAGGUCUACCCAAGAGAAAGAAUUUUGACACUAUCCUGGUGGUCAUUGACAAAUUUAGCAAGUAG
This 351-nucleotide ribosomal RNA is filed under the name Triticum aestivum (bread wheat). RNAcentral describes it as "partial small subunit ribosomal RNA". The record is from RNAcentral. Lineage: Eukaryota; Viridiplantae; Streptophyta; Magnoliopsida; Poales; Poaceae.